Molecule: small nuclear RNA, 107 nt
Filed under: Vicugna pacos (alpaca)
Lineage: Eukaryota; Metazoa; Chordata; Mammalia; Artiodactyla; Camelidae
Source: RNAcentral
GUGCUCACUUUGGCGGGACAUAUACUAAAAUUGGAACAAUACAGAGGUGAUUAGCAUGGCCCCUGCUCAAGGAUGACAAGCAAAUUCAUGAAGCGUUCUGUAUUUAA